CAUGUGAGGUGGAGGUUGACGGGGGGUUUGCAAGUAUAAACCACUGCAAACUCAUCGUCAGCCUUCUCACCUUUCAUG
Molecule: microRNA precursor, 78 nt
Filed under: Heliconius melpomene (postman butterfly)
Lineage: Eukaryota; Metazoa; Arthropoda; Insecta; Lepidoptera; Nymphalidae
Description: microRNA hme-mir-6302 precursor (hme-mir-6302-2)
Rfam family: mir-6302 microRNA precursor family
Source: miRBase by way of RNAcentral